AGUCACUGACAUUAGAUACCCCUGUAGUCCCAGCCCUAAACGAUGCGCGUUAGGUGUAUCGGUGACCACGAGUCACCGAGGUGCCGAAGGGAAACCGUUAAACUCGCUGCCUGGGGAGUACGGUCGCAAGGCUGAAACUUAAAGGAAUUGGCGGGGAGCACCACAAGAGGUGGAGGCUGCGGUUCAAUUGGACUCAACGCCGGAAAACUCAUCGGGAGCGACAGCAGUAUGAUUGCCAGGUUGAUGACCUUGCUUGACAAGCUG
This 264-nucleotide ribosomal RNA is filed under the name uncultured archaeon. RNAcentral describes it as "partial 16S ribosomal RNA". It matches the Rfam family "Archaeal small subunit ribosomal RNA", at positions 718 to 982 of the family's 1478-position model. The record is from RNAcentral.